CGAACCGCAGCGGGAGAGCGCACGUCCGACGUGCCGCCGAAGGAGCAACUUCUCCCCAGAAUCUCUCAGGCCCCCAUGACCGCUGCGGUGAG
Molecule: non-coding RNA, 92 nt
Filed under: Angustibacter sp. Root456
Lineage: Bacteria; Bacillati; Actinomycetota; Actinomycetes; Kineosporiales; Kineosporiaceae
Also listed under: 1 other name
Description: Glycine riboswitch aptamer
Rfam family: Glycine riboswitch aptamer
About the family: This family represents the bacterial glycine riboswitch. Glycine riboswitches usually consist of two metabolite-binding aptamers domains with similar structures in tandem. The aptamers cooperatively bind glycine to regulate the expression of downstream genes.
Source: Rfam by way of RNAcentral